Molecule: long non-coding RNA, 1405 nt
Filed under: Equus asinus (donkey)
Lineage: Eukaryota; Metazoa; Chordata; Mammalia; Perissodactyla; Equidae
Description: lncRNA (ENSEASG00005037303.1)
Source: RNAcentral
CCUGCAGGCGUCCCGAGGGGCAGGAUCGUCUCCGGAGCCGACCGUGCCAGGGCUGGGCCACGGAAGGCGGAGCUGCAGCAUGUGGAGGCCCUUUGUGGACAGGUGCACGGGCCCAUCUCUCUCCGAGGCGCUACCUGCGGUUUACUGGACGUUUAUUAGAAGCCCACGCAAUAUCGUGAAGCACCUGCAGGCAAUAAAACCCUUUACAUGUGUGAGGCCUUGAGGAAAUUAACGGCUCCUCCCUGGGGAUGCAUAUUUCGUGAAGAUGUUUAUUACAGAUGAAGUGCUCCCGGGGUGGAACAUUAACAAGUUGUAGAGUGAUAAAAGGAUUUUUAUCCUUUUUCAGUGACAGAGGUAGGAAGAACGCUUUAACGGAAUCUAUAAAAGGCCCACUUCCUAAUGAAUUUUCUUUACUCUUUAUUAAUAGGGUCGGCUGAGCGGAGUCAGGGUCCUUGGAUGGCUGGACCACUGGACAAGGGGAAUGGAGCCGACUGGAGCGGGUGCGGGGCCUGGAUGCUGGACAGAGAACGCGUGAGGACGGUCUGGGUUCGAAUUCCAGGCACUGAAGACCACGGGGAGCCUGGGUGGGUGAUGAACACGUUCCGCCCCAGGAAAUCAUUUGGAGGCCGCUCCAGGUGAUGGGGGCCAACGUGUGACCAGGCACAAAGGAGAUGCUUAGUGAACACAUCUUGACAUGAACUAAAAGAUACGGUGAUAUUAACAGAGGGAAUGCCAUUUGACAAGAACCCGAAGGCCAUCUGUCAAAGGGAAGCUUCUACAGGGUGCCGGAGAUGCUGCCCUCAACAAAACAAACACGUUCCUACCCUCCUGCAUCUGCCCCUCCAGGGUUUGGGGAACUUCCAGAAGUUGGGUGUGGCCAGAGAGUCAGAGAGGGAGGGGGUUUGGAGAGCUGGAGCAGAGUUAAAUCAUCCUGUGCCUUGAACGUCAGGCUAAUGAAUUUGCACUUUACCCUGUGAUCGACGAGAAGCUGUUGAAAGCAUGUGGCAUAGUCAAAUUUCAGUUUUAGAAACAUGCCCUGAAAUGGCACCAGGCCCAGAUGGUUUUAUGAGCUCUCACAAAGAAUAGAUAAUUCACAAGCAGUUAAUACUUACUAGGAAAAGAUGGACUAUUUCCCUUAUAAUUUUAUGAAGCUAAUACAAUUCUAAUGCCAUAACCCAACAAAGACAGCACCACAAGCCCAAUAGACCAAUCGCAUCUGAAAUAUUGAUGGGGAAAUAUGAAAUCAAACACUACCAAAGAGAAUCUAGUGGCACAUUAGAAGCAUAAUACACCAUGAUUAAAUAGCAGGAAUGCGGGUCCAAGAAUGCAUGGCCAACAUGAGGAAGAGCCACUUACAUAGUCCAUUAUACUCAAUGCCCAUUCUCAAUUUAAAUAUUAUGCAGAC